Molecule: ribosomal RNA, 250 nt
Filed under: uncultured bacterium
Lineage: Bacteria
Description: partial 16S ribosomal RNA
Rfam family: Bacterial small subunit ribosomal RNA
Source: RNAcentral
UACGGAGGGCGCAAGCGUUGUUCGGAAUUACUGGGCGUAAAGCGCGUGUAGGCGGCUUGGUAAGUCGGAUGUGAAAGCCCGGGGCCCAACCCCGGAACUGCAUCCGAUACUGCCUCGCUCGAGUCUCGGAGAGGAUGGCGGAAUUUCCGGUGUAGAGGUGAAAUUCGUAGAUAUCGGAAGGAACACCAGUGGCGAAGGCGGCCAUCUGGACGAUGACUGACGCUGAGACGCGAAAGCGUGGGGAGCAAAC